Small nuclear RNA from Lynx canadensis (Canada lynx), 107 nucleotides. Lineage: Eukaryota; Metazoa; Chordata; Mammalia; Carnivora; Felidae. The record is from Ensembl.
GUGCUUGAUGUGGCAGUGCACAGACUAAAAUUGGAACAAUACAGAGAAGAUUAGCAUGGUUCCUGUACAAGAAUGACAUGUAAAUUUGUGAAGCAUUCCACAUCUGG